This 450-nucleotide ribosomal RNA is filed under the name uncultured Glomeromycotina. RNAcentral describes it as "SSU rRNA". It matches the Rfam family "Eukaryotic small subunit ribosomal RNA", at positions 569 to 1023 of the family's 1831-position model. Lineage: Eukaryota; Fungi; Glomeromycota. The record is from RNAcentral.
AGCAGCCGCGGUAAUUCCAGCUCCAAUAGCGUAUAUUAAAGUUGUUGCAGUUAAAAAGCUCGUAGUUGAAUUUCGGGGUCAGCAGGUCGGUCGUGCCAAUGGUAUGCACUGGCCUUGCUGAUUCCUCCCUCUUGAUGAGCCGUAAUGCCAUUAAUUUGGUGUUGCGGGGAAUCAGGACUGUUACUUUGAAAAAAUUAGAGUGUUUAAAGCAGGCAAGCGCUUGAAUACAUUAGCAUGGAAUAAUGAAAUAGGACGUUCGAUCUUAUUUUGUUGGUUUCUAGGAUUGACGUAAUGAUUAAUAGGGAUAGUUGGGGGCAUUAGUAUUCAAUUGUCAGAGGUGAAAUUCUUGGAUUUAUUGAAGACUAACUACUGCGAAAGCAUUUGCCAAGGAUGUUUUCAUUAAUCAAGAACGAAAGUUAGGGGAUCGAAGACGAUCAGAUACCGUCGUAG